AACGGCCGUACCACGCUGAAUAUACCGGUUCUCGUUAGAUCACCGAAGUCAAGCAUCAUUGGGCGCGGUCAGUACUUGGGUGGGUGACCACCUGGGAACACUGCGUGCCGUU
RNAcentral lists this ribosomal RNA (112 nucleotides) under Caerostris darwini. Lineage: Eukaryota; Metazoa; Arthropoda; Arachnida; Araneae; Araneidae. The record is from RNAcentral.